GUUUAACGGCCGCGGUAUUUUGACCGUGCAAAGGUAGCGCAAUCACUUGUCUUUUAAAUAGAGACCUGUAUGAAUGGCAUAACGAGGGCUAAGCUGUCUCCUCACCCCAGUUAAUGAAAUUGAUCUUUCCGUGCAGAAGCGGGAAUUAACACAUAAGACGAGAAGACCCUGUGGAGCUUUAGAUGUAUAAAUGAAUUUAUUAAACUAUUAGCACCAAAUAAAAGGUAGUUAAAACAAUAACCUCAUUUUAAAUCUUUAGUUGGGGCGACCGCGGAGUAAAACGGAACCUCCGUGAGGACUGAGGUGAAAACCUUAUACCUAAGAAUGUCAUUUCUAAGUGCCAAAAUAUUUGACCCAUAGAUCCGGCAAUAGCCGAUUAACGAACCUAGUUACCCCAGGGAUAACAGCGCAAUCCUCUUUGAGAGUCCCUAUCGACAAGAGGGUUUACGACCUCGAUGUUGGAUCAGGACAUCCUAAUGGUGUAG
Molecule: ribosomal RNA, 485 nt
Filed under: Hippocampus hippocampus (short-snouted seahorse)
Lineage: Eukaryota; Metazoa; Chordata; Actinopteri; Syngnathiformes; Syngnathidae
Description: partial 16S ribosomal RNA
Rfam family: Bacterial large subunit ribosomal RNA
Source: RNAcentral